Molecule: long non-coding RNA, 1559 nt
Filed under: Nicotiana benthamiana
Lineage: Eukaryota; Viridiplantae; Streptophyta; Magnoliopsida; Solanales; Solanaceae
Description: long non-coding RNA (NBEN_LNC038773)
Source: RNAcentral
AACAACUAUCACGGUACAAGAUCCAUCAUACAUCAUGACUACAAAAUAAUUUUUAGCUAACAAUUUUUUCUAUUUUGCAGGAAUAAAAGGAAUGUCUACAUCAUUGGUGGAAAUCCGGUGGGUGGUAUUAGCAUUUCUGAUGCUCAUUCUAUUGGAGAUCCCUCAAUGUAGUUGGUCACUCCCUGUUUCUUCACUGGAAAUCCAACAAUCUUCAACCAAUAUUAGUCAUACCACAAACACACUCAUAGAAGUUUCUCACCUAAACAUGAUAACACAAGCCAACUCACACAAACUGCACUUUCACACCACAACAUAUCCCACUCUACACCAUACCUAUAACCAAGACCACUAUUGCCUUGAGUAUCUCACUCAAUUUCCCAGUACACAUAAGAAUCUGGCUGAAGAAGCAGUCUAUAAUGUACCACCUCUCAUCAUCUCCUUUUAGGAUUAAGAACAUACAAAAACCUGGGCCCUAAAAUUGCUAACUCUAGCUAAGGAGUAGUAACUCUUCACACUAACAAACUUCUAACUUUUUCAGGCAUAAAACUUCAAGGACUCGUAUGUUUCUUCUAUUUUUUUGGUGGUGUGCAAAACCCUCCAGAAAAGGAGCAUGAACUCAGCAUGAACUCCUUGAUUGGUUCUCCACCACACCAAUUCCUCUUUACCAGAGCACACAUAAUACUUACACCACAAAUCACAUCAAAGGCACCUUCUUCCAGUCAUUACCUACUAGCAUUAUUCAAAAAAGGAAGUUGACAUCAAUCAAAGCUCCCAAAACACACAAGAACCUAGGAGCCUUUGUUUAACUUGUUUGUUACUUUUUGCAGGUACCAUGGCCAUAUCCAGAUUGUUGAUGCAUUUACAAGGUGCAUUAUCAACAUCUCAGAUGUUCAAUUUCUUAGAAAUGCAUCAGUUUAUUUGGGCAUGCCAAAAUACUUGCAAUUAUACAAUCAUCAACAAUAGCAUCAAUCCAGUUUAAUACUAGACACCUCAGAAGUAUACUACAAUGCCACCUAUACAUAGAUUUUCACCAUAUUAUCCACCAUUUAUGCUACAUGCAUCUGGGCAUCACCAGGACACCACAAGGGCUCUGACCUAGCCUUCAUAAAAUUCUUGUUCAUAUACUCUCAGCAGCAGCAGUCAAUAGUAGUCAUCAACAACUAACUUGCCCGAUCACAUAGGCCUUUUGAUUUCUAUCUUAAACUUGGCUCUCUUUGCUCUCAAUGUCAAAGCAAAUUUGAAGAUAGCCCCUACUACAGUCACACACUUUUUGAUAUCCUCCUUUGGAGGCUCCGUCACCUAAUCUGGAUGCAGCAUCCUAUGUACAUAGAGUUGGAUCCCCAUACCCUUUUCUUAGGAGAUCCAAGAUCAAUUGUACUUUUUGUAUAUCUAACACAGGCACAUUAAACCGUGAUUUUGUAUAUCCAUCUAUCUAUCAUUGCUGCAUAGACAAUGGGAACCUUACUCUAGGUCUAAAUCCACUUAGUUGUGUUGAUACACUUGAUUAUCAUUUACAAAUUAUCGAGUGUACAAUAAUUUUUUGGGAGGUAGGGUGUUUU